This is a long non-coding RNA of Hippocampus zosterae (dwarf seahorse), 1521 nucleotides long. RefSeq lists it as uncharacterized. The transcript is spliced from 6 exons. Lineage: Eukaryota; Metazoa; Chordata; Actinopteri; Syngnathiformes; Syngnathidae. The record is from RefSeq and is a predicted model, not a curated record.
GCCUUCCACUUUCUUCUCUUCCUCGUUUUUCUUCUUCGCGGGCUCGUCCUCAUCCUCGUCCGCUUCCUCGUCACCCGCCUUAGCGGCAGCAGGCUCCCCGGGCGGCGAAUCCUUGUCUCCCGCCACGAAGCAGGUAAUGUUUCGGUAAGCGACGGGGGAGUAGAGAGCCAGCGUCCGCGGGUACCGCACCACAGCCUUGGGACUUCCAUUUUCACCGGACGUCACAGAACUCUCUGAGGACUUUUUGCGCCGGAAGUCUCGCUUCAUGGCGACGAGGGUUCGCGGUCCGAGCGAGCACUGCACAGUGGCGUCCCGUUUGGGGUUGACCUGCACGGCCACGUCCUUGGUGUUUGCCUUGCGGAGUCUCGGCGUGAGCUUGGGAUUGAUCUGAGACAGGAUGGACUUGAGCUGGGCCCGCUGCUGGUUGUUGAAUGCCUCGGAGGCGUUGCCAUAGUGGGACAGGCGUCGGGUCUGGCGGGCAGGGGUCCAGCAUGAUGGUGUUCGGGUCGCUCACCGUCACCGCCCCAUAUGAAGCGUCAAAGUCGACGUCCUCAUCCUGGAAGCGCUGAUACGUGAUAUCCGUGUCUUCGCCGUCCCGGCGGGCCGGCGGCUCUUCCUUGCCCAACACCCGCCUGCGGUACGUCCGGUACGCCAGGAUGAAGACGCCCGCCUCGGCCGCCUGGAAGAGCGCGUAGAGCAGCGGGAACAUGUACAUGCCGCCCAUCAGCUGCGGUGGAAAGGCCAGCUUGAGGAUGGCGGUGCACAGCUGCACGUUCUGGCAGCCCGUCUCCAGUGAGACGGCGCGGCGGCUGUUGGGCGGCAGUUGGAACAGCACGGCCAGGCCGUAGCCCGCCGCGUAGCCGCACAUGGGCAUCAGCAGGGCCACGACGUAGACGGACGGCGGAAUGGCCGACAACAGUUCGGGGCCCAGCAUGGCUGCCGUCAGGAUGAAGAGCAGCACCAGGGUGAUGAGCAGAGACCACAGAGACGCCUGAAGAGACACCAGAGCCGCAUCAGACGCCGGCCUGCCGCUAUCAGGCGCCGACAUCGCGCACAGGAAAUAAAAGCAGUGACGUCUCGCCGAGGAAAAGACGGACGGGAACAAGACGAAGAGGAGGAGGAGGAAGAGGGUGACUCUUCAAACGCAGCAAGCGACAGGUGGCCUAAGCAUGAACCCUACAAGGACUACGAUGUGAGGUCGGAGCACAAAAGAAGAGACAGCUGCAACUGCAAUUUCUUGUUAGGUGAGACUUUGGAUCUGGAGGCACUCCUCUUCCCGCUGCCGCCAUUCUGGACUCUCCACCAACACCUGCUGCACAUGUGCUAGGAAAUAAAGACAGGACAUUUUAAAUGAACAAGACAGCAGAGAAAGUGACAGGCUCACCUUCUCGUUGCCGGUGGUCCAGGGAGCCUCCCUCACUACGAAACCUUUAGAGGGGCCGCGAUUCUCAUCAGCGGCCGCGUGGCUGCCCCCCGAGGGCCUCAUGUACGCCAUUUUUGCCUCAUUCUCAACCACGUCUG